This 9077-nucleotide long non-coding RNA is filed under the name Malus domestica (apple). Its description in RNAcentral is "long non-coding RNA (MDOM_LNC003314)". The record is from RNAcentral. Lineage: Eukaryota; Viridiplantae; Streptophyta; Magnoliopsida; Rosales; Rosaceae.
UUGUAGGCUAAUUAGGUAAAACAACAUAUUCAAAUGAUAAUUGACAGAAAAAUGUCUCUUUGUAUUCCAUAUAACAGUGUUACAAAUUUAAAACUAUGAAAUAUAAAAGAAUAAAUGAAUCCACACAAAAUAAUAAAUUGACAACCAAAAGUCUUAAACACCCCCACUCUACAUAAAAAUUGCCCAAUUGACAAUUCUUAAUCUUCAUUUAGAAUAAACCAACAAAAUAUCAUUCGAACCAGAGAUCGUUUAGUCAUUAAAAUAUAUCAAAUAAAUCAAUAAUGUAAGUAUCAAAAAGCAUAUUUAUAAUGAACGUUGACUUAUUUGAUACAUUUGAAUGAUUAAAUGAUCUCCAAUUUGAAUGAUUUUUCGUAGCGACGAAAGUAACAGAUUAAACGGUUUUGAUCAUGAAAUUUUUAUGGUAAAAAUACGUUAUUUGUAAGUGGUGGAAUGAGCUCAUCCUUGCAUAAAUAAAAUAGCAUUAUCCUUUUUAUAAUACUUUGAGCUCUAAGUUAAUUGGUAUUUUUCUUCUUCUAAUGGUAAAAAGAUGUUUCGAAUUUGGCAAUUCGAUUGUUCUAAUGAUUCUACAAUUUUCGGUUGCCAAACAAUUAUAGGCCUAUUGAAAAAUGGGUAUAUACGUGCUAUAUAUAAUAAGUUUAUAGCAAGAUUUAUUUUUGGAUUGCCGGUUUAGAGUUAAAUUGGCUUCGGCUGAGAAAUGAAAAUAAUCCAAGUUCAUAACUUAGGGCAUCGAAAAAGCACUUUGGCUAAAGAGAGAUGCUUCUAAGUGCUUUUACUACCUAAGAAACUUUUGUUUCGAACAUUUUCAUAAUUCAUAAACAAGAAAAUUGUAGCAAUGAUGAUUUAACUUUAAUUCAAUUGGAGUAAUAGUCUUUCAAGUGAAAAUCAAUGACCAUUGGUCUCUUAACUUAUCAAAACGUGUAAUUAUAGUCAUUUUUGUUAAUUCCGUUAGAAAUUCGUCAAAAUGAGUUUUGUUGAAAUGACCAUUGCUACACUUGGGUUAAAGUUGAGGGACCAUUGCUCCAACUGAGUUUAAGUUGAAGUUGAGAGAUCAUUGCUUUAAUUGGAUUAAAGUUGAGAGGUUAUUGCUCUAAUUGGAUUAAAGUUGAUGAACCAUUAUUAUAAUUUCCUCUUCAUAAACGUUCUUUAUUUAUUAUGUGAAAGGACUUUUUUGAAAAGCACUCCCAAACAGCUUUAGAAUUUUCCAGGUCGACGGACGGACGGACCGAGGAUCCACUCCAACAACAUCGAUAUUAUUUCCACUUUACCACCUAGUCAAUCCUCAUGUGUAAGAUUUUAUUACAAAAAGCCUUGCUAUUAAUUAUAGUAAGAUAAUUCUAUUUAGGGUAAAAGACUGUUUACCACCCUCAUGUUUCAUGGUUUUCAACAUUUAGUACAUCAAGUUUUUUUCGUUCCAGAGUCAUACAUAAAGUGUAAAUUUUGGGACAAUCUCAUACAUCUGUUAGUCAAACUGUUAGUUCUCCUGUUAAGUGAUGACGUGGCGCCCUGAUUGGACGCCACGUGUCAUUAAAAAAAUAAAAAAUGUAUUUAAAUAAAAAUAAUAUUAAAAUAUAUUAAAAUAUUAAAAUAUUAAAAUAAUAAUAAAAUAUUUUUUUUCUUCUUCUCUUAAUAAAAUAUAUAUUUUUUCUUCUUCUCUUUUUUUUUUUUUUUUUUUUUUCUUCUUCUUCUUCUUCUGGGUUCGGUUUUUUUUUUUUUUUUUUUUUUUCCUUCUUUCUCCUCCUCCUCCUCCUCCUUUUUCUUCCUUCUCCUUCCUCCUCCUUCUUCUUCUCCUUCUUCUUCUUCUUCUGGGUUCGGUUUCUCUCUUCUUCUUCUUUUCUUCUUCUUCUUCUUCCUCCUCUUUCUCCUUCUUCCUUCUCUUUCCUCCUCCUUCUUCUUCUCCUUCUUCUUCUUCUGGGUUCAGUUUCUCUUUUUUUUUUUUUUUUUUCCUUCUUCCUCCUCCUUCUCCUUCUUCUUCCUUCUCAUUCCUCCUCCUUCUUCUUCUUCCUUCUCCUUCCUUCUCAUUCUUCUUCUCCUUCUUCUUCCUUCUUCUUCCUCUUCUUUUCUGGGUUCGGUUUUUUUUUUUUUCUAUUUUUUUCCUUCUCCUUCAUUCUUAAGAAGGAAGAAGAAGGAGAAGAAGAAUGAGGAGGAAGGAGAAGGAAGAAGAAGGAAGAAGAAGAAAAAAAAAAAAAAAAAAAAGAGAACCGAACCCAGAAGAAGAAGAAAAAAAAAGAAGAGAAAAGGAAAAAAAAUAUUUUUUUAUUUAAAUAUUUAUUUAAAUAUUUUUUAAUAUUAUUUUUAUUUAAAUAAUUUUUUUUUAAUGACACGUGGCGUCCAAUCAGGGCGCCACGUCAUCACUUAAUUGGAGAACUAACAGUUUGACUAACAAAUAUAUGAGACUGUCCCAAAAUUUACACUUUAGGUAUGACUCUGUGACGAAAAAAACUUGAUGUACAAAAGGUUGAAAAUCACGAAACACGAACGAGGGUAGUAAACAGUCUUUUACCUUUCUAUUUAAAUUGCUUUCUCUUGGGCACUCGUACCCAGUGUCCUAUUAGCCAAUUACAGAGGUGACAACAGCUGGUGCCGAAUGCCAACGAGAUAGCUUUGUAGGCAACAAAACCAUACUGAAAUUCUUCAAGAAUUGUAGGCUAAUUAGGUAAAACAACAUAUUCAAAUGAUAAUUGACAGAUAAAAUGUCUCCUUGUAUUCCAUAUAACAGUGUUACAAAUUUAAAACUAUGAAAUAUAAAAGAAUAAAUGAAUCCACACAAAAUAAUAAAUUGACAACCAAAAGUCUUAAACACCCCCACUCUACAUAACAAUGACUGCAGCGAAAACCCCAACGGCUAGAGCUCCGGCGGCGGAGAACUGAUUCAAAACGGCACCAUUGGCAGGAACUGGAGCCUCGGAGGGAGAUCCAGAAACUGAAGAGGGAACAGUCGCCGGGGACGACGAUGGGAGAGAAGGUGGGGAGUCGGCGACGGGAGAUGAGGAAGGCGAAGCCGAUGGUGCAAUGCUCGAUGGAGAAGGAGCGGCGGCCGUAGGUGGAGUGCUCGAAGGAGAAGGAGCGGCGGCCAUAGGUGGAGUGCUCGACGGAGAAGGAGCGGCGGGAGCUUGUUUGGGAGAAAGCGCAGGAGACUUGGCCGGAGACGAUGCAGGGGAUUGCGCCCCCGUCGAGGCCAGCAAGAGGGAAGCCGUUAGGACCAAAACGACGCCGCUGAAUCGGGCCAUUUGUAGAGAGAGAAACUUGAACAGAGAUUUAGAGAGAGAGACAGAGAGAGAGGAAUCUAGUGAGGGUCUGAGAGUUGAGAGGCGAGUUGCUGAUGGGAUUUAAGGAGUGGAGAUCGGGGGUUUAUAUAGAGGGAGGGGGAGGAGACGCGUGGCGUGUAGAAUACCGUUGGACGGUGGAGAUUUUCUUGCUGUGAUGAUUGAAAGUCGGUAAAGAGAACGUGUGACCAACUCGGAGGCGUGGUUGUUUAGAGGACUGGUCUGGUUUUUUUUUAAUGGCCGUUGGAUGUACGCUUUACAGCGUGUAACGGUUAAUUUUCCGACGGUGCAGAUGGUAGGUUAUCUGGGAGAUUUGCUUCUUUUUUUUCUUUUUACUUUAUGUUUGUCGGACUUUUCUUUUUACUUUUGAAAUCUUUUUUCUUUUCUUUUCUUUUCUGGCACUCCCAGAUUGUUUUAUUAAAGCAAACGGAUCCUUUCUUUCAAUUUCAAGUGCUAGCCACGGUCCACAUCAAGUGGUCCAGCAGUAAGGAUGUGUAUACUGCGGUUCUUUAAAAAACAAAAAAAAUGUGAAAAGUUUCGAGUUCAAUGCUUCCAGUUGGUGAGUUUGCUUAAUUAUGGCUAUGGAUAAAGUAAAAUUUCACAUAGCUUCUUUGGACCGGAAAGAGGUGAAUAAUCGUUAUUUACCAUCGAUUGUCUUGUUUUUUUAACAAAAAAAAAAUCAAUUUCAAGUGCCAGAGUGGACAAUUGGAGAUAGGGCGUGUUGGCUAAGAUUAUAAUUUUUUUAUCGUACCAAAUUGUAAUUUUAUUGUAUAUAAAAAAAAUAAACGGUUAAAUAAUUUUGAAUUUGUUUGGUUUAUGUAAAAUUAAAAUGAACCGUUUUUACAAUUAAGCAAAUAUAUCACUUUGAGGUAACUAGGGAUAGUUUGAUAUUGUUGUGCUUUGAAAAAAAACCGAUUAUGUUGUGCUGUGAGAAUAAGCAACUGUGAAAUAAAGCAACAGAGUGUUUGGUAAACAUUUUUGUAAAAGUGUAUUAUAGUGUUUGGUAAACUUUGAUGUAAAACAAUUAUGAUUGUGUGAAAUGACCAAAAAGGGUAUAAUACUAGAUAUGUCAUUAAUUUAAUUUUCUUAACAAAUAAAGGUGAAUUACUAAAUGUACUUUAUUUUUAUCUUAAAUAUUAAUUAGUAUGAUAAACUACUUCAAUUGAAAUAUUUACUGUUUGGACCCAAAUUUACAUCAUCGGCCUGUGUAAUCAAGGCCGUUGAGGGAGUAUAGUUCUUAACCUUUGGAUGGAAAAGUGGAGAUAAUUUUUGUUAUUGUUAAAGGAUAAUAUUAUGAUUUUUAUCAUAAUAAUUAUAUUUUAAUAAGAAUUAUCUUAGCAUCUUUUUCAACCAGAUAAAUAGGAUGCGAAUUAUAUCCCAAACAAGCAGUAGAGUUCGAAUUGAUUUGGGAUGUCUGACGGCACUUGGAAGCUAAAAAUGAAUUUGAAAUUCAUUUAGAUAGGUUCAAGAUGCAUGCGACAAUAAAGAUGAUGGAUUUGGAUGAUGAUGAGAUAAGCCUAGGUAGACUAGGCCUUUUUGCAUAAUGAUGAUGUUGUCAUAUGGGUUUAAAAGCCACUGAUGGAGUUUUGAUGAUGAGAUAAGAAGCCUAGGUGAGUUAGGCCUCUAAUGUGAUGUGACCAAGCUUAGAUAGGCUUUAUUUUGUUUGAAAAGUCAUGAAAUCUGAAGGUUCACAUGGAUCAAUUUCAGUUUCAUAAAGUUAGAGUUACAGUUAGACUCUACAAAGCUUUCAGGCUGUGCCAGGCAAAGGACAGCCACUAUAAAUACAGAGUCGCAUGCAACAUUGAAGGCCCCCAACUCAACACAAAAACUGCCCUGCGCAAACUCUCACUCUACGCGAAACCUCUCAACAACCUUGAGAUUUUUAUUUUCUUUUUCGCUAACAUGCUUUCAGUUUGGAUAAACAACACUGUGAAUGCAACUGGCGAACACCUUUAGUUUGGAUAAACAUCAUUGUUGCCGUAGAAUCAGCUAACCGCGAAGCACCUUCAGUUUGGAUAAACAACACUGCGUCGAGGCCGACUGAUUAUCUAUCCAAGUCUUUGUCAAGAAGGAUUUCCGAAUCCUUAUUGGCAGAGGUCAUCUCAUUAGCCUUCUCGGCGAAGUGAGGUGUUACAGGUUACUACAUUCGGCAUGUUGAAAGCCAAAUUUGAUAUUGAACUUCACGGAACUAGUAGCCUUGUUUUCAGGCUCUAGAACUCGAAGGCCGAGACGUGUUCUUUUCUCGGCCGCAGUCGCAAGAUCAAGAAGUCAGCAGUGCGCUCAACACAACAUCAACUCAUUUAACUCACCGGUCGAGCUUGACCGUCAAGUUGCCUCGCACACAACCAAAUGACGUAGUUAGCUCAUUAGUUAUUCGGCCUACGCGUCACGUAGGUUUGGUAGUUUUUAGGGUCAACAUUUACACACUCAAUGAUGAGUGUUGAAGUCCUAUUAGAUUAGGAACGUGAUUGUGUUAAUCCUAGUAGAUAUAGGAAUAUCUCUUAUAUUCCUAUUAGGAGUUGAUUACCUAUUAAGAGUUGUAAUCCUAAAAGGGUAAGAAUUUUACCUAUCCUACUACUAUAAAUAAAAGCACAAUGCGAUGAAAUAUAACACACCUGACAAUUACACAUCUCUCUUUCUCUCUACAAUUGCCGCAUCAUCCUUCUCUCUAAGGCUCCAUAAUUGUUUAGUAAAUUAAGCCUACAACAAUAUCACAAUUUUUUAUUAUUUUUAUUAUGUAAUAUAACAAUAUUUUUUAUUUUUACUUUAUUUAUAAUCUGAAUCUUUCUAGAACUCUCCUCUCCCUCAAUUCCUCCGACUUGUUUUCCGUCUACUUCAUCUUCAUUUACCAAAAAAAUGGCAUCUUUCAUUUACCCAGAAUGUUAAUUCUUCAUUCCCUCCAUCCGCAAUAUAGAAAUGGCGAAUUCUCUAACUAAAAAUUGGGUUUUGGGUGAGGUUCGGUGGGAUGGGGAGGUCAUGCCACUCCAACCCCAAUUCCUUCAUCAUUACGUGUCUCUCCCAAGCAACCAUCCUCCCUGUCUCUCCCCACCCACUCUCUCUAUCCUGCAACACUAGGGGUGGGCACUGUCCGGUUCGGCCCGGUUUCACCCUCAAAAUGGAACCGAAAUCAGAAAAUUUCAACGGUUCAGUUUGGUGCGGUUUCAUUUAAAUUUAUUACUUAAACCAUACAGUUCAGUUCAUGCCGGUUUACGGUUCUAAUCAAAAUUAUAUAUAUGUUUUUUCUAAUUUUCUACUUCUAAUACCAAACACAUAUUUCAACCACAAAUUCAAGUAAUUUUGAGUUUCCAAUACUAGAUCUACAAGUUUUGUGAUCGGAAGAUAGAAAGUGUGCAUAUAAAUAUAAAUCAAAAGAUAGAAAGGCUCAUAUCAAGAUCAAAGUGUAGAUCUUAAACUAAAACUAAAAUGUUCAUAAUGCAUAAUAUACUGGAAAAUAAUGGAGAAAAAUAAUGUAGGGGGAGAAAAGUGAUAAAACAACAAAGGAGGGGGGGGAGAAGUGAAGAAAAAUAUUGGGCUUAUGCACAUGGUCUUCUUGGAAAAAUGUCUUAUCUCUACUAAUUAAUAAAACUCUCUUUGUCAACCAAAAGAUGGUGAAAAGACAAAUUAGUCAUCUAUCACAAAAAAUAAUAAUAAUAAUAAUAAUGGGCAAUAAUGUAAUUUCACAAGUCCAAAUUUUACUAUUUUUUAUUGAAACUUCACCUACAUGUGAUGUUAAAAUACCUCUAUUAUUAGAAAAAAAAAAACUAAAAACAAAAACCUUUCACUCCCCCACGUUCUUUAUCUCUCCCUUUCUCCUUCUCAUUUUCUCUAAAAAAUGUGUUCAUACACACAAACUGUGUAGGCAAAUGCUAAUUUAUAUAAAAAUAAUAAUAAAACAAUCAUUUAUAUUAAAAGCGGUUCGGUUUUUGUUCCAGUUUUGACUUUUUUGAUCAACGCGGUUUUUUACCAUUUUUUUUGUCACUGUUCAAUUCGGUUUUCCGGUUUGGAGGUUUUUAUGCCCACCCCUAUGCAACAUACUGAACCAAAUUCAAUUUGUUACCAACCCUUUAUCCUUUCCCUACUUAAUACAAAAACAGAAACCUAAUUCAAAUACUUCAUUGUCGCAGCUCUUUCUCGGCACAUUCGUUAAAAUUUAGAUAAGUUCAAUUGUGGGUAUUUGAAAUAUAUCAAUAUUUAGCUUGAAUUUAUCGAAUUGGAUUCUGGGUACCUCAACUUUUCAGCUAUGCUAGGUUUAGGAGGAGAUUGGGUCAAGAGGAUAGGUCGGGGUUCAAAAAGGGAUUGAAAUCAAAUUAUAUAGGAGUUUUGAUGUGGCAAGAGGUGGAGGCUUUAGCUGGGAAUGAAGUUUCAAGUUGGGGAUUGGGUUUGGGGCGUCGAGUUGGGAGUGAAUGAGUGAGACGAGAGGGAGAGAACCAGUGAGAUGGCAGAGCAAGGAAGAGGACAACGCGAGAGGUGAGGGUAGGAUCGGCAUUUGCAAACUUUCAUUAAACAUUAAUGUUCACCCGUGUUUCUAAGAUAAAAAGUUGGUUUUUGAAAGCAGCAAAUAGCUGUUUCUCGCAGCAAUUUUGAAACAAGUGUUUUAUUGCUAAGUUACCAAACACAAUAUUGAGCUCAACUUUUUUUCAUCCCUGCUUUUAAAAAAAUUUAAGCACUACCAGGCUUUAGCCCAAGUGAGAUAAAAGAAAAAAAAAACGAGUAGUAAUUCAAUUGUGAGAAGACUCAGUGCUUCACAUGUUUCACUUAGUUUAGGGGUUUAAAUUAGGGUAUUGUUGACCUAUUUUACAUAUUUUCAUUAGUUUAUAUCGUAUUUUUUAUGUCUAUUGUUUAUGUUCGUUUCUUGUUUUUGUUGUAUUUUUUAUUUAUAAAUUUUAACGGAAAGGGACUACGUUUAUUCUGUCAUUUCUUACCAAUUUUUUUUAUUCAAAAGCUAGUUUUAGGAUGCGGCAAAGAUAGUGGCAAAAACUCCCUAGCACAACCAAACUGGGCGGCAUAAGAUCGGUGCGAAGGAUUAAAACCUUCUCGGCCUCAAUUCACUAUGUACAUAUGGUUCCAAUUUGAAAUUAACAUGCAGUUUCGAUUAGGCUCAAGAAGUUCCUCGAACACACAGUCAAAAACAGAAGUUACUUGGAUGAAUCAUGAAUGUAGGGAUAAUUUGGUGAUAACACACUGAAAUAAUAAUCGGAAAAAUGUAUCUUUAUAUAUUCUCAUAUAACAGCGCUACAAAUUUAUAAAUUGUGAAACAUAAAUGAAUAAAUGAAUUUAGUACAAUAAUAAAUGGAAAUUCAAAAGUCCAUAAACACCCCCACUCUACAUAACAAUGAGUGCAGCGAAAACUCCAACAGCUAGAGCUCCGGCGGCGGAGAACCGAUUCAAAACGGCACCGUUAGCAGGAGCGGGAGCCUCGGAGGGAGAUCCAGAACCUGAAGAGGGAACAGUCGCCGCCGCGGGAGACGACGGUGGGGGAGAAGGUGGAGAGUCGGCGACGGGAGAUGUGGAAGGAGAAGCCGAUGGUGAAGUGGUCGAUGGAGAAGGAGCGGCCGUAGGUGGAGUGCUCGACGGAGAAGGGGCGGCGGGAGAUUUUUUGGGAGAAAGUGCGGGAGACUUGGCUGGUGACGAUGCAGGGGAUUGCGCCCCGGUCGAGGCCAGCAGGAGAGAAGCCAUUAGCACCAUAACGACGCCGCUGAAUCGAGCCAUUGUAGAGAGAGAAAGAGAGAACUCAAACAAAGACUUAGAGAGAGAGAGAGGAAGUAAGUGAGGGUUUGGGAAUUGAGAGACGAC